GAGCGUUGUCCGGAAUUACUGGGCGUAAAGAGCUCGUAGGUGGUUUGUCGCGUUGUUCGUGAAAUCUCACGGCUUAACUGUGAGCGUGCGGGCGAUACGGGCAGACUAGAGUACUGCAGGGGAGACUGGAAUUCCUGGUGUAGCGGUGGAAUGCGCAGAUAUCAGGAGGAACACCGGUGGCGAAGGCGGGUCUCUGGGCCAUUACUGACGCUGAGGAGCGAAAGCGUGGGGAGCGAACAGG
This 241-nucleotide ribosomal RNA is filed under the name uncultured bacterium. RNAcentral describes it as "partial 16S ribosomal RNA". It matches the Rfam family "Bacterial small subunit ribosomal RNA", at positions 536 to 776 of the family's 1533-position model. The record is from RNAcentral.